RNAcentral lists this long non-coding RNA (633 nucleotides) under Rattus norvegicus (Norway rat). Its description in RNAcentral is "long non-coding RNA NONRATT007274". The record is from RNAcentral. Lineage: Eukaryota; Metazoa; Chordata; Mammalia; Rodentia; Muridae.
CAGCUGUUUGGUUAUAGAAACAAUGGUUUCCAGAGAAUUGGAAUCCUCCACAUCCUCACUUCCUAUCCCCACCCCUGCCCAGGAGGAUGGAAAAGUGCCAGCCAGAGGGGGACCAACGUCUGUCCAUCCUGCAGGAGAGAUUAGAAGCCAAGACAAUGUUGGGUCAGUGACUGGAAGGGCCAUACUUUAACCUGGACAGCUUAGCUAUGUGGAACUCUUGACGCCAAUUUAAGCAUAAACCUCAGAAACUGGAGAUGCCUCUCUCGUGAGGAUCUGGGUUCAAUUCCCACCUCCCACUUGGUAGUGGGAGUCACAACCAUUUCUAACUCUAGUCCCAAAGGACCUGAUGCCUUCUUCUGGCUGCUAAGAGAAUCGCAUGAAUGUGGUACACAUAUAUGCAGGCAAGACACCCAUUCACAGAACGUAAAAAUUAAACUAAGGGCUGGAGAGAUGGCUCAGCGGUUGAGAGCACCGACUCCUCUUCCAGAGGUCCUGAGUUCAAAUCCCAGCAACCACAUGGUGGCUCACAACCAUCUGUAAUGGGAUCAGAUGCCCUCUUCUGGUGUAUCUGAAGACAGUUACAGUGUACUUAUAUAUAAUAAAUAAAUACAUCUUGAAAAAAAAAAGUGUGAA